RNAcentral lists this ribosomal RNA (629 nucleotides) under Cladosporium cladosporioides. RNAcentral's name for it is "LSU rRNA". The stretch from base 1 to 560 matches the Rfam family "Eukaryotic large subunit ribosomal RNA", at positions 83 to 664 of the family's 3401-position model. The record is from RNAcentral. Lineage: Eukaryota; Fungi; Ascomycota; Dothideomycetes; Cladosporiales; Cladosporiaceae.
GUACGGCGAGUGAAGCAGCAAUAGCUCAAAUUUGAAAUCUGGCGUCUUCGACGUCCGAGUUGUAAUUUGUAGAGGAUGCUUCUGAGUAACCACCGACCUAAGUUCCUUGGAACAGGACGUCAUAGAGGGUGAGAAUCCCGUAUGCGGUCGGAAAGGUGCUCUAUACGUAGCUCCUUCGACGAGUCGAGUUGUUUGGGAAUGCAGCUCUAAAUGGGAGGUAAAUUUCUUCUAAAGCUAAAUAUUGGCCAGAGACCGAUAGCGCACAAGUAGAGUGAUCGAAAGAUGAAAAGCACUUUGGAAAGAGAGUUAAAAAGCACGUGAAAUUGUUAAAAGGGAAGGGAUUGCAACCAGACUUGCUCGCGGUGUUCCGCCGGUCUUCUGACCGGUCUACUCGCCGCGUUGCAGGCCAGCAUCGUCUGGUGCCGCUGGAUAAGACUUGAGGAAUGUAGCUCCCUCGGGAGUGUUAUAGCCUCUUGUGAUGCAGCGAGCGCCGGGCGAGGUCCGCGCUUCGGCUAGGAUGCUGGCGUAAUGGUCGUAAUCCGCCCGUCUGAAAAACACAAAACAAAAAACCCCAAGCCUGCUGACCGAAGGGGGUACUUGCCUGGCGCUCGCUGCAUCACGGAGGCUAU